CGAGCCGGGCGGGCGGCCGCGUGGAGUCCCUCAGGGGGCUUCCCGAGGAACGUCCGGGCUCCACAGGGCAGGGUGGUGGCUAACGGCCACCCGGGGUGACCCGCGGGACAGUGCCACAGAAAGCAGACCGCCCGGCACUCAGGUGCCGGGUAAGGGUGAAACGGUGGUGUAAGAGACCACCAGUGCCUGGGGUGACUCAGGCAGCUAGGUAAACCCCACCCGGAGCAAGGUCAAGAGGAGCGCUGUAAAAGGCGCUCUGCGCGGACGAUCGAGGGCUGCCCGCCCGAGUCCGCGGGUAGACCGCACGAGGCCGGUGGCAACACCGGCCCUAGAUGGAUGGCCGUCGCCGACGGGCCCGCGAGGACCCGUCGGAACAGAACCCGGCGUACAGCCCGACUCGUCUG
Molecule: non-coding RNA, 404 nt
Organism: Streptomyces sp. NRRL WC-3605
Lineage: Bacteria; Bacillati; Actinomycetota; Actinomycetes; Kitasatosporales; Streptomycetaceae
Rfam family: Bacterial RNase P class A
About the family: Ribonuclease P (RNase P) is a ubiquitous endoribonuclease, found in archaea, bacteria and eukarya as well as chloroplasts and mitochondria. Its best characterised activity is the generation of mature 5'-ends of tRNAs by cleaving the 5'-leader elements of precursor-tRNAs.
Source: Rfam